This is a long non-coding RNA of Sapajus apella (tufted capuchin), 2393 nucleotides long. RefSeq lists it as uncharacterized. The record is from RefSeq and is a predicted model, not a curated record. The transcript has 3 exons. NCBI's taxonomy places the organism in Eukaryota, Metazoa, Chordata, Mammalia, Primates, Cebidae.
UCUGGACCCAUGGCCGAGCCAUUCCUGGCACCCUGCUGCCCACUGGUACCCCCUCCAGGGGCUGUGGAGGGGACAGAGCAUGGUCCUCUUAGCCCCUGUGGAACUGCCUGCAGGUGGCUCACAGAGGCACAGGUGCCAUGGGAGACAGGAACUCUGGCCCUGAGGGCAGAGGGCGUGCACAGGUUGCUGUGAGGCAGGCACUGAUGGGGGUUUGGGGGUUGUUGGGGUGUUGCAGAGGUGUUGUGCUCAGGCCCAUGGAGCAUGACACCAGGGGAGCAGUCAGGAGGGAUAUGGCUACUGCUCUAGAAACAGCAAUUUGCUUUGUCUUCAAGUGGCUCAAAAACCCCUAACUGCUAUUUUCAUCCUUGCAAAUGCAUUUGUCUAAGACAGUAUCAUUGAUAACACAUGCACCUGACCAGUCCUGACCAGCCUGCACUUUCUGUGGCCAUUCUCUACUUUUUAGCCCCACAACAGGCACUGGAUCAUCUGACUCCAGCAUGGCCCUCUGUGGCAAGGGCUAUUAGUAUUCCUUUCUGAGACCAGGAACCUGAGACCCAGAUGAAAUCAGGUACACAAGGCCACUCCACCUGGAGUUGGCCAUGACCCACUGACAAUGACCUGUGCUCUCCAAGGAUACCCUGUGGCAGUCCCAGCUCCACAUACCCGCCCUGCAGCACGUGCCUCUGAGUUCCGCUUGGAAGGCCCCUGAGGACGCCCAGUACCCACAUCCGCAUGGAUCCAACAUGCUGAGCUGGCUCCAGAAAGAACUCUCUCCUGUCGGCAUGCUGCUCACCGAGCGCUACCUCCUGUCCCACACUGUUCCUACAAAGGCACCAGGAUUCUGACCCUCAAGUGAGAGCUCCUGGUGCCUUUGGGUCGCCACUUUGAGGACCUGUGACACCUGCUCCCUGCCGUGCCCUCCACUGGCCCAACCUACCCUUGCUGACUUGUCCUCCACAUGUGCUGAAAGUGGGCACCGCACUGUCCCUCCUCUGUGGGCCUCAGAGACUGUCUCACUGGCUUCCCAGAGGACUUCCAGUAGAAGCAGCCCCUGGGAAGCUCCCAGUCAGCCUCCUGCUCCUGCGGCCUGGAGCCAGCUCGAGUUAGGCACUCCCAAGUCCUCUUCUCUCAUCGCCACCCUGGCCCAUGCCACUCUCAGGGCAGCUCGAUCCCGGUCCCAUCCCUGUGUCCAGCUCUCCAGUCUACACCUGCAGGACCCUGCUCUUCACUGGUGAGUAUAGGAGGGCCCCACUGACCAAGUUUUCAUCUAAAUGCUACUUCUGUCAUCUGGAAAUAUGUUUUUCUGUUGCUGGAUGGCUUUGCCCCUGACUGGACACACUGUGACCUGGCCACCCCCUCCAGGAAGACUCCAGGAGGCUUCAUCUCUGGCCUCAGGGUAGGCUCCUUCAAUGGCAGUGCUGACCUUGGGAGCAGGUGGUUGAGUGCCUCAUUCACACUCUUGUUGUUGUGGCUCUGGACUGACCGCAGAGCACUCACCGUCACCAGAGAUUCUGACCCAGACAGGCAGCAAGGUCCCUAGUACCCACCCCCAUGGAUGCAGAGCAGAAUGGUGACCUGGCCUCAUCACAAAGCUUCACCUGUGGCACUGGUGAGCCCCCAGACUCAGCCACAGGCCACUGUGGGUCCACUCAUGUCAGAGCUCUAGGAUCUGUCAGCCUUCCAGGCUGGCCCUUUACUCGGCAGCAGCAGGGCCAGGUCAGAGGGUCUCAACCAGACAUCUAACAAAAAGAAGGGCGGUCAGGAUGUGAUGUGGGGCUGAGGGGGCGGGUAGGGACCCAAGCUCACCUUCUGUGGUGAGUCGCCUCAAAGCACCACCUGCUUCCCUACCAACUGCAAGGCUCCUUGGGCCUCCCUUGAAGGAGAGGAACCAUCUGAAGACAAGCCCAUUUCACUGAGGCUCUUCGGGGCAUCAUGUGAGUGGGCAGACUUGAUGUGGGGCACCAGCAGUCCUGGCUUCUCUUGUGGGACACCUGGGACGAUGUGUGCUUUGGGCUUUUUGAACAGGUCCAUGCAGCAUGGCCGGAACACCAUUUAAGGCGGAGCACAAUUGCCACGUUCUCACCCAGUUCCUCUGGUGCUGAGGCCUUCGAGGGACACGCACAUCUCUGCUGGGUUAAGCUGCUGGGAUCUGGAGUCCUCUGCACCACAGGAGGAAUCAGGGGCCCUCUGGAGUGUCCUCCAGAUCCAAGCUUAGAGACAGUAUGGGGCGAGUCCAUCAGCCAUGUGCCAGGACACGGAACACUGGCAGGCCCAUGCCCACUAGCACGGUCAGCUAGCACCCCAGAAGACAUGGUAGUAUCCCUGUUUUAUAGAUGAGAAAACUGAAGGCCAGGAGCGGUGGCUCAUGCCUGUAAUUCUAGCACUUUGGGAGG